RNAcentral lists this unclassified non-coding RNA (2344 nucleotides) under Ooceraea biroi (clonal raider ant). RNAcentral describes it as "gamma-aminobutyric acid receptor subunit beta, transcript variant X10". The record is from RNAcentral. Lineage: Eukaryota; Metazoa; Arthropoda; Insecta; Hymenoptera; Formicidae.
UUGUUAUGAGAAAUCCUUUCUGAGGGUGUGGUUCUGCAGCUAUCGCAAAGAUAUUGCGUGAUUCGACCAAGGUCGUCACCAUACAUUGCUUCGCGUGAUUCAGCGCUGCACCAAGUGAUUACGUACGGAGUUGGUCAACCCGCUGAGCCAAGCGGAAAUCGUUGUCCGGCUCUGCCGAAUUGCUCCACUUAGCGGGACCGGAAUCGGCUGCUGCUGCUGCUGCUGCUGGUCCGUUGUGCCCGUUAGAUCGGGCUCUCGUAGGUAAUGCGGAGCCGUAUCAGCCCGCGGAUUCAAGGGCCGUUUGUUUGGCUGACCGAGACCAUCCGUAUCUACUGACCCGUUAAGUCAAGAACAGACCCGCUGCACUUUAUGCCUCGAGACCCUCGGGCGUAUCUACUCCUUCGCGACCGUGUACGUCAUGCAGGCUGCUACAAUAUCUUCCCUCUCGAAUCUUGUCUUUGAAACCGUGCUAACAGCAGUGUUGUUUCAAGAUUGCACGUGUGUGCGACCAUGUAAAAGACCGCAGCAGAGUAUUCUAGCAGAAUAACGAUUUCACCAACUGCUGAGGAUCGUUAUUGCUUAUAUUGUUGUCGUCUAACAACAAGAUUACUGUAUUAUUUGCAACGAGGAUUAUUGAGAUAAUUAUUUUUAAACAUUGAUUGAGAUCGUAACAAUUCUAGCUGUAAAUGAAGAAAAUAAUACGAAAAGAUUUUUAAGUACUGACUUUCGUGCACGAUUUUUUUUUCUGGAUGGAGAUGCGAGAUAACAUCGAGGCCUCUCGGAUAACAUUCUCGUUUGUUUGCAGAACCGGCGGCGGCAGUAUGCUAGGCGACGUGAACAUCUCCGCGAUACUGGACUCCUUUUCCGUCAGUUACGAUAAAAGAGUAAGGCCGAACUACGGAGGUCCUCCCGUCGAGGUGGGCGUCACCAUGUACGUCUUGAGUAUCAGCUCCCUAUCCGAAGUGAAAAUGGACUUCACGUUGGAUUUUUACUUCCGACAAUUCUGGACGGAUCCGCGACUCGCGUUCAAGCCGCGAACGGGUGUGGAGACGCUCAGCGUUGGCUCAGAAUUCAUCAAGAACAUUUGGGUACCAGACACCUUCUUCGUCAACGAGAAGCAGUCGUACUUUCACAUCGCUACCACCAGCAACGAGUUCAUUCGUAUUCACCAUUCGGGCAGCAUCACGCGUAGCAUACGCUUAACGAUUACAGCAUCGUGUCCCAUGAACUUGCAAUAUUUCCCGAUGGACCGGCAACUGUGCCAUAUCGAGAUCGAGAGCUUUGGAUACACAAUGCGCGAUAUUCGGUACAAAUGGAACGCCGGCCUACAGUCGGUCGGCAUCUCGAACGAGGUGGAACUACCGCAGUUUCGCGUGCUCGGUCACAGGCAACGACAGACAACCAUACACCUAUCUACAGUCGGAUACACGAUGAGGGACAUCCGGUACAAGUGGAACGAGGGCCCGAACAGCGUCGGGGUCAGCAACGAGGUCUCCCUGCCUCAAUUCAAGGUCCUCGGUCACCGCCAACGUGCCAUGGAGAUUAGUCUUACCACCGGGAAUUACUCGCGGCUGGCCUGCGAGAUCCAGUUCGUACGGUCGAUGGGCUACUACCUGAUCCAGAUCUACAUACCCUCGGGGCUGAUUGUCAUAAUAUCGUGGGUGAGCUUUUGGCUAAACCGAAACGCGACCCCCGCUCGGGUGGCCCUCGGAGUAACCACUGUGCUCACUAUGACGACCCUAAUGUCCUCGACGAACGCGGCGCUACCAAAGAUCUCCUACGUCAAGUCCAUCGACGUCUAUCUGGGCACCUGCUUCGUCAUGGUCUUUGCCUCGUUGCUCGAGUACGCCACGGUGGGCUAUAUGGCGAAGAGGAUUCAGAUGCGGAAGAACCGCUUCCAAAAGAUCGCCGAGAGCAUGAAGGCCGCGAGCGAGAACCCAGGACCGCCGCGCGUGCCCGGCGAUCAUGGCGAUCACGCGCCUAAGCAAACUGAGGUGCGGUUCAAGGUGCACGACCCAAAGGCACACAGCAAAGGUGGGACACUCGAGAACACCAUAAACGGCCGCGCCGACGAAGAAUCGGCGGGCGCGCCGCAACAUCUUAUUCACCCUGGCAAGGAUAUCACCAAGCUCUACGGUAUGAGUAGACCAUCUUGGCAGGCUGCUAUUUCAACGAGCUUCUGAACGGGGCACGAUAAAUGUCACUGCGACGGCUUCACCGUCAGCGAGCUCGAAAUGCCUCCGAGCGUGGUAUCAUCGUCGAGGUAAAAGGUCCAGUACGAAGGAUCCCGUUAAGGGGGGAGCCUGCUUUAGAACGCUGAAAAUAAGUUUGGAUGAAAUUUGGA